UCGUCAGUGAGGUAUAUCCUUACCUGUUAUUCCUUCUGGAGUUACAGAAAAUGAUGAAUGGACAAUAUGAGCCGGUGAUUAACUAGCUCCCACCCCUGAGGAACUAACAACCCUUCAGGGUAAUUCUGAU
Carcharodon carcharias (great white shark) is the source of this 130-nucleotide small nucleolar RNA. RefSeq annotates it as U8 small nucleolar RNA. Lineage: Eukaryota; Metazoa; Chordata; Chondrichthyes; Lamniformes; Lamnidae. The record is from RefSeq and is a predicted model, not a curated record. The transcript has a single exon.